Phoenix dactylifera (date palm) is the source of this 946-nucleotide long non-coding RNA. RefSeq lists it as uncharacterized. The record is from RefSeq and is a predicted model, not a curated record. Lineage: Eukaryota; Viridiplantae; Streptophyta; Magnoliopsida; Arecales; Arecaceae.
UCGAAACCGUCUCUCUGAUGCUCUUCCGAUGGAAGCUCCGACCUUUCGUCCCUCUUCCGCCUCCAGCCCCCAAGCCCUCGUUUUCCUCGGCUGCGGACGCGGCGGAGGAGCAUCUUCUUGAUUCGUCGACAUAUUCCGGGAGAGACAUUUCAAUCCUAGCGGAACGAGCGCCCGGGCCACUGUUCCGCCGAUCGAAUCGGAUGCGGGAUGGUCGGGAAGCUUGCGGCGCUGGGAAAGAUGGGAUCUUAAUGCACAGGAUGUGGUUUCGAGCACUAGAGUUCGGGACGCUAGGAUUUCUCGACUGCAGGCUUGCCAUGCUUUGGCUCGGGAAGGGAGGUUGAGGAGAUGAAGAGGGUUUUGAGGCAAAUGCCGGACCAAGAAGGGGGCGGCCACCUGCUUUUCAUCAUUUCAUGUCGACAUACUGGAAUGGAUCCCCCUCCUCCGCCACCCCCUCCUGAGGUGCCUCUCCUCCCGCCAGCACCCGCGCCACCACCGGUUGGUUUCCUGGAUUUAUGCUUAUGGUGUCUCUGCUGCUGUGGAUUAUUCACAAGCUGCUGUCCGCCGCUGUUUGAACCAGAACCCCCGCCACCGUGAUCUCAUUUUUUGAAAGAAUCUUUAGUGUUUGGGUACAGCAUGUGGUUCGACAUACUACUAUGAAAAAAUUUGUUGUUUUCUGAUAGUUUGUUACUAAAAAGGCAGCAAUUCUCCGUUUUCCUUCUAAUCACACUGAGGGUAAACUAUGUAGCUUGAAUGAAAAGUUUUCCACUUCUAAUGCCGUUCUCUUUUUCGUGCUUCUUCAUCCUUGCUUGACUGCUGUUAUCGAGAAGCAGAAAGCAUGUUGAAUAUUGAAUGUAAGAGCAAAUCUCUCUGAAUAAAUUUUCAAUUUACUUUGGUAAUCAUUUUGUUCUUAAUGAGAAAAAGUGCAGAGGCCCUAUAUUUGUAUUUA